UUGUUAAAUUUAACAAAGAGCCGCGGAAAAGUAAUUUAUAGUCCUUUCACUUAAACGAGUUCUCUUCACUGUUUAGAUGAAAACUGUAUGUCAAAGUAUAAAAUAGAAUAAUAACUCUUUCAUUAACUCUGUUCCACAUUGAUAAUUCACAUUUCAUUCUCAACCUGUGAGAUCACGCCAGGAGAAAUAUGUCUUCCAUUCAUUUCACAGGUAACAAUAUACAUACAGAUCUAUACAUAUCGUGAUCAGCAUCUAUUCAGUCUGGAUCCUAGUCAUGCAUGACUAGUGUUUGCUGAUGCGCGAUCGAUCGCAUUUCGCAAUUAGCAAUGCCACCACGACGAAUGUUGUAUUGUAUUCAAACGAUUUAAGCCUUGGUUGGCACUUUCACGGCUGCUGUCUCGUGACGAAAAAGAAGAAAGACCAUUCAACGAGGAAUUUUUGCGACGCAGCCAUAAAUCGUGAGCAGGCUUUCGCAAUUUUACCUAUCGGUCAACGAAGAGAUACACUUCCAGAGAAGUCUUAAUCAUCUUCUCGCAAAAAGAGGAAAGAAAAAAAGGAUGAAAUAAAAAGGAAGGACUCGUAGCUAGGAAUACCAGUAGACAAGUGACAUAUGAUUAAUUCAAGCAGCCAUGACGCGACGUCCAGUUUAGCUUCGGACCGCGUAACCGUGGCUAAAGCAUAAAUAAUGAUCUCGUGUCUUUAAUCCCACAUGGUAUUCAGCUUGGCAUGGCGGUUGUAAAUAAAUAAAUAACCGCGCUCGUUACAAAGCUGAAGCAUCAGCUGGAUACUGAUGGUAACGCCGCCUUAAUUGUAACUGAUAUCGAUCAUCCUUUAAAUUGAUAACCCUAUGUAUGUUUUCUUUAUUGCAUCAACAGUUCAAGUGCGACUCUCUUUUGUUCGUUACGCUAACGAAGGCCAUCGACGAUCCACCGAGCAAGAGGAUAAGGUCAAUUGAUUAUUCGUGAUUGAUUUAUCGAGCUGUGUCACUCCUCUAGCUGAUUGACGACACGAAACGCAAUCGUAAUGAUUUUCUUAUUUAGUUAUGCGAAAAAUUAGAUUAUCGGCUCGCUUUAGAACUAAUUGAUUCGAACGAACGAGAUCCUAUUGGACUAUACAAACUCGUUCUAUUUCCAACCAAUCCCAGCACUUAUCAAAAUGUCAAUGCGGCAAGACACGCACGUUCCUCGAUAGCCUGUUCCCACGAGACACGUGUUUUUCCAGAUUACACGAGUCUCUACACGAGAUUUCGCUCGUUCUUCACGACGUACUCAAACAUCGUUCUACGCAGUCGGAACGAGCGCUCAAAGGUCGCACGAAGAUACGAGCCUCUGUAAAAGCGUAAAUCUGCCGGAUCUAGAGGUUUCCCGUUCCCCUUUGACUGAUUCGUCGAGGACGGGACGCUUUAAAUCGCAGGUGAAACCUUCCUGAAUACCAUUAGCUCGUCUGCAGUCGAGAAACCGCGAUAUACGCGGUUAUAUCUCACGAUGACAACGAGCCUAGUUAAGAUCAUACCCAUGUACGCCCUUUUGUACAUCUUCGUUCAUACCGCCUUGUGUUAAGACAAUUGUUGAUAUCAUACAAAACGUGAUACAAUAGGAUCUCGAUUAUCCCAAUUAAU
Molecule: unclassified non-coding RNA, 1618 nt
Filed under: Bombus terrestris (buff-tailed bumblebee)
Lineage: Eukaryota; Metazoa; Arthropoda; Insecta; Hymenoptera; Apidae
Description: misc RNA ENSBTSG00005038647.1
Source: RNAcentral